This 480-nucleotide ribosomal RNA is filed under the name uncultured bacterium. Its description in RNAcentral is "partial 16S ribosomal RNA". It matches the Rfam family "Bacterial small subunit ribosomal RNA", at positions 29 to 505 of the family's 1533-position model. The record is from RNAcentral.
UUGAACGCUGGCGGCAUGCUUUACACAUGCCAGUCGAACGGCAGCGCGGGCUUCGGCCUGGCGGCGAGUGGCGAACGGGUGAGUAAUGCAUCGGAACGUGCCCAGUAGUGGGGGAUAGCCCGGCGAAAGCCGGAUUAAUACCGCAUACGACCUGAGGGUGAAAGCGGGGGACCGAAAGGCCUCGCGCUAUUGGAGCGGCCGAUGUCGGAUUAGCUAGUUGGGGGGGUAAAGGCUUACCAAGGCGACGAUCCGUAGCUGGUCUGAGAGGACGACCAGCCACAGGGGGACGAAGCCCGGCCCAGGCCCCUGAGGGGGGGAAGAGGGGGGGAUUUUGGGACAGGGGGGGCACCCUGGACCCGCCAUGGCGGGGGGGGGAAGAGGGCCUUGGGGUUUGAAACCGCUUUUGGUGGGGAAAAAACCCCUGGGGGUAAUUCCCCGGGGGGGAGGAGGUACCAGAAAAAAAAACCCCGGCUAAACUCC